CCCCCGGUAGCGUGGCAGACGGGUGAGUAACGCGUGGGCAACCUGCCCGGAGGUGGGGGAUAACCCCUCGAAAGGGGGGCUAAUACCGCAUGACACCCCGGGGACCUCGGUCCCUGGGAUCAAAGCUGGCCUCUGUUUACAAGCUAGCGCCACCGGAUGGGCCCGCGUCCCAUUAGCUAGUUGGUGAGGUAACGGCCCACCAAGGCUACGAUGGGUAGCCGGCCUGAGAGGGCGACCGGCCACACUGGAACUGAGACACGGUCCAGACUCCUACGGGAGGUAGCAGUGAGGAAUCUUGCGCAAUGGGCGAAAGCCUGACGCAGCGACGCCGCGUGGAGGAUGAAGGUCUUCGGAUCGUAAACUCCUGUCGAGCGGGACGAAACCCGGAGGGGACAACACCCCUUCCGGUUGACGGUACCGCUGGAGGAAGCCCCGGCUAACUCCGUGCCAGCAGCCGCGGUAAUACGGAGGGGGCCAGCGUUGUUCGGAAUUAUUGGGCGUAAAGGGCGCGUAGGCGGCUGCUCAAGUCGGACGUGAAAUCCCUCGGCUCAACCGGGGAACUGCGUCCGAUACUGUGCGGCUUGAGUCCCGGAGAGGGUAGUGGAAUUCCCAGUGUAGCGGUGAAAUGCGUAGAUACUGGGAGGAACACCGGUGGCGAAGGCGGCUACCUGGACGGGUACUGACGCUGAGGCGCGAAAGCCAGGGGAGCAAACAGGAUUAG
This 721-nucleotide ribosomal RNA is filed under the name uncultured Acidobacteriota bacterium. Its description in RNAcentral is "bacterial SSU rRNA". It matches the Rfam family "Bacterial small subunit ribosomal RNA", at positions 84 to 781 of the family's 1533-position model. Lineage: Bacteria; Pseudomonadati; Acidobacteriota. The record is from RNAcentral.